This 1538-nucleotide long non-coding RNA is filed under the name Homo sapiens (human). Its description in RNAcentral is "uncharacterized LOC105379109, transcript variant 4 (LOC105379109)". The record is from RNAcentral. Lineage: Eukaryota; Metazoa; Chordata; Mammalia; Primates; Hominidae.
UUGUAUGCCGGAAGGGAUAAAUCUGGGGCUGAGUACAAGCAAAACAAGACCAAAGGAAGCUACCUGAGCAGGUAUUCCAGAUACUCAUGUCAUACACCAAGGUUGUACCAGUGCCCCUUUCUCUGUGACACAUCCAUCCACUGGAAACUUUCGUACAACUAGCUGAAAGAAGAGAAACAUCCUAUUUCAUGUCACUGGAGCCCUAAUGAUCGCAGCCAUUUCAGGAAAUGCCAUCAAUUACAGUGAGGAGCUCAUUCAGAAGUGAAAGAUGAGUUCCAUUCUCUGUUACUUAGAGAAAAUGCCUUUGGAGAGCCCAGCUGUAGUGGCAGCAGCAGUACUGUAACCAUGAAACUCUGAAAAAGUUUCUUCUAUAUAGUAAAGAAAAAUACAUCAAGGCUCCACUUUUGUCAAGAACACAAUUAUUUCUGGAAAGAGUAUUACACUCAGUAUUCUGCAUUUCAUAUGGCAUUUCAAAGUCCUGAGAAUGACUCUCCGUAGUCUUCUAUGUACUAAUUAAACAUGAACAUGUGGUAAACAACAUGGACUAUUCCAGUGGACAGAAAGCGUCAAGUUAAAAUGUUUAAGUGCCCCAUAUUUUUCUAAGUAUUCUUAUCCAGUUGGUCUGACUGGUCAUUAUCUGUUUUGUAAAACUUCCCAAACAACUCAUCAAUAUUUAAAUAGCUAUCCAAAUUAUAAACUUCAAAUAGCAGAAUCCAAAUGUCAUUUAUGCAUAAUUCAAAAGAACUUUGCUGAAAACAAUCUUUGGAUUACAAUUGCUCUCUAAUCCACCUCUUGAAUUUCUACAUAAGAAUUCAAUGCCAAUGCAAUUCAAAUCAAUUCAUUCAUGGUUGAUGUUAAAACUUCCUUUAAGAGGAUAGUAUGGCAGAAACAAAACUGAAUUUGAACAAGAGGGAAACUGCAGAAGAUAAACAUUUUUUCUGUAGAAAGUUUCCAACUUUUACAUUUUUGUGGUAAUUUUUAACAUUAUAGGUAUAAUUAAAUUAUCACUAAAGUUAUAUCUAUUAAUCCUAAGUGGUUUAAAAUAAUUUCUCUGUUCAAACUGAUGCAGCUCGCUAUUACAAUUUAAUAUAAUUUUUUCAAACUAUAAUUGAUUUCUAAGACUAGUAAAAUUUUUGAGCUACCAUUAACCCCAAAAUAUCUGGAAAAAGAAAAUCAUCAUAGGUAACUCCUGAUGACUCCUACCUCUUUCAGUCACAUACUUAGCAUUAUCUGCUGUACAGGUUUAAAGAAUGUUGGUCACAGGAUUGAAGUGAAUAUUUCAUUUAUGUGUAGCCAAAAUAUUAUCAUAUGAAGCCCAAAAGAAGAGUAAAAUACAUCCUUGUGAUAUUAUUAACAUGACUUUGUGCCAGACAAAGCAUAGUUACUCUACAGAUGGAUUAUGAAUAGAGAAAAAGUGUGUAGUUGAAUUCUUUGGAAUUAUGGACUAUAUUCCAUAAAUCCCAGAUGGAGUCACUAUGAUUAAUGUUACCUCAAUGAAUACAAAAUGAAUAAAUAAUUAUCCUCCACUUACUGUAAAG